CAGCCGCCGCGGUAAUACGAAGGGUGCAAGCGUUAAUCGGAAUUACUGGGCGUAAAGCGUGCGUAGGCGGUGAGUUAAGUCUGCUGUGAAAUCCCCGGGCUCAACCUGGGAAUGGCAGUGGAUACUGGCUCGCUAGAGUGUGUCAGAGGAUGGUGGAAUUCCCGGUGUAGCGGUGAAAUGCGUAGAGAUCGGGAGGAACAUCAGUGGCGAAGGCGGCCAUCUGGGACAACACUGACGCUGAGGCACGAAAGCGUGGGGAGCAAACAGGAUUAGAUACCCGCGUAGUCCCUGUCUCUUAUAC
This 301-nucleotide ribosomal RNA is filed under the name uncultured bacterium. RNAcentral's name for it is "partial 16S ribosomal RNA". It matches the Rfam family "Bacterial small subunit ribosomal RNA", at positions 509 to 807 of the family's 1533-position model. The record is from RNAcentral.